Long non-coding RNA from Falco peregrinus (peregrine falcon), 1562 nucleotides. RefSeq lists it as uncharacterized. The transcript has 3 exons. NCBI's taxonomy places the organism in Eukaryota, Metazoa, Chordata, Aves, Falconiformes, Falconidae. The record is from RefSeq and is a predicted model, not a curated record.
UCCAGGUCACCAAUACCCUUUGCGAUGCACAUUGCUAACCCUGCUGCAUGCCACAGCGACUGGAGGAACGGACAAAUAACCCUGCCAGGUAUUCCACCCUAUUUCUCAGUUAAUUUGUUAAAAAUCAACCAGGAGUGUUGUGGAUGGUAAAGCUGCUGGGAAGAGAAAACCACUGUAAAGAACAAACACUCAGAAAAGAGCUUUCAAUGCAUCUGCUUUCUUGGCAUGCCUCAUGGUAUGUAACAAGCGGCAUCGGUUACAGUUAGCUCAUCAUUUUCUGUAGCAGUUCUGCCCAGUGACUGGUAUUUGGGUGUCCCAGGCGGAGCAAGCACGGCUCAGAGCUCUCAGGCAGCACAGCCACCGUGAGGGGUGCAGAGCCCCAAGCCAAGAGCCUCGUGCUGUCCCCUGCAGCCAUGUGGCACCACGGCCAGCCCAAACCCAGAGAGACCCGCAAUGCUGGGGGGUGCAGCCAGUGGUGACAAGCUGUGCAGCAGCAGCUCCAGGCUGACACAGUUUGUGCCAGCAGCCAGCGGCAUUCAUCUGGAAUGAUCCCCACUGGCAUUUGCUGCAGGAUAAAUAUUGUCUGGGAUUUUUCAUUAUCUUCCCUGGGCAGCAAUGACACAGCAGUGACGUUGUUUUGAGCUCUGUAUUUCCAGCCUCCCACCACCAGCCAGAACUAGUAAGGGGAUUUGAGUCAUUUUUCUGAACAUAAGCAUUUGCUGAUACUUGCGAAAGCCAAGAACAUCCACACAAGGGAUUUGCAUGGGACUGGCAGACAUGACAAAGGACCUGUGGAAGAUCUCUGGUCUUCUGGAGUGCCAGGUCUGUCCAGGUUUUCGACUGGACAUGGCUCCAGCAAGGCAGCAUGAGGCUCGUUCCUCGAGGCUGUCCCUCUCACACCGCAGGAAGUCAGCUGCAGAAGGAAUAUUGAGGAGAGCUGAUGGGGAGCAGCUCCUGAUACCCCAUAGAUAUUUUUCUACUUCAAUAUUACUUUACUAAGAGGCCUCAGAAUAGUCUGAGGACCAGGGACUGUGUUCCAGCCUUUUGGUGUGCCACCCAAGACUCGAGAUUGCAGGGAAGAAUUCAGACUGUCCGUGGGGAUCUUCUGCCCUUUCCUGCCUACAAAGUGAGUGGAGAGAAGCAAGACCAACUGAGAAACGGACUGGCAUGUCCUGCUUUCUCAUUGCUGACUGCAAGGAGGAGCAGCAUCUGGCCCAGUACUGAGUCAGUCAUUCUAUCUUGAAUGCGCAUGCCAGCGUGGACAUGCAAAACCACCUUAGGGCCUGUGAGACGGGACUGCGAUAUAAGCAUCUAGAAUUACAUUGUCAGCUUUGGGGGAAUGCAAACCCAAUGAUGUUAACCCAGCAGUGUGCCCCUUCCUCUUCACUGUUCCCACCCCCGCAAAUUUGCUGAGCUAAAGGAUCAUAAACUGCUGAGUUCUGCCUUCUGUUUGCCAAAACCGCUCAAGAAUCGAAGGGCAGACAAUUCUUGGGGGUUAUGACCUGAUCCUGUCAUCGUCAUCACUACCAUAAGGGGGGAAAAAAAAAAUAUCUAUUUUUCCA